UUAGUAAACAGAAGCCUCGGUGGAAGAUUACUAAUGAGAGUGGCGAACGGGUGAGUAACGCGUGAGCAACCUGCCUAUGACAGUGGGAUAGCCUCGGGAAACCGGGAUUAAUACCGCAUAAAAUCGUAGAAACACAUGUUUUAACGGUCAAAGAUUUAUCGGUCAUAGAUGGGCUCGCGUCUGAUUAGCUAGUUGGUGAGAUAACAGCCCACCAAGGCGACGAUCAGUAGCCGGUCUGAGAGGAUGAACGGCCACAUUGGAACUGAGACACGGUCCAAACUCCUACGGGAGGCAGCAGUGGGGAAUAUUGCACAAUGGGGGAAACCCUGAUGCAGCGACGCCGCGUGAACGAAGAAGGUAUUCGUAUCGUAAAGUUCUGUCCUAUGGGAAGAUAAUGACAGUACCAUAGAAGAAAGCUCCGGCUAAAUACGUGCCAGCAGCCGCGGUAAUACGUAUGGAGCGAGCGUUGUCCGGAAUUAUUGGGCGUAAAGGGUACGCAGGCGGUUUAAUAAGUCGAAUGUUAAAGAUCGGGGCUCAACCCCGUAAAGCAUUGGAAACUGAUAAACUUGAGUAGUGG
Molecule: ribosomal RNA, 577 nt
Filed under: uncultured Clostridium sp.
Lineage: Bacteria; Bacillati; Bacillota; Clostridia; Eubacteriales; Clostridiaceae
Description: bacterial SSU rRNA
Rfam family: Bacterial small subunit ribosomal RNA
Source: RNAcentral